GUCUCAUAUCUUCCUUUCCUGGUAGCAUUUGAUUUACUUUCCCCAUUUCCCCGCCUUCGUCAACAUCUCAGAUAUUUCUUACCAGAGCUCAUGUAAAUCACUAAAAUACUCUUGUAAGGAGCAGGGUGAAAUAAUACUCUCAACUCGCCCCAGAAGUGGAUCGAUGAAUCCUCUUGAAGAUCUCUCUCUCUCUCCCUCCACGCUUCUGAUUGGAUCAGAUCCCCUUGGCCGGUAGAUUCCUUACCUUCCUACCCUAACCCCCCUGAUAGAGGAUUAGGUGGUUGGGGGCGAGACUAACCAGAUGGACACUCUGGGCCCAUGCAUUGGAUUCUGCAGACUGAUGGAACAUUCGUUUGGGACCUUCCUACGUGCGUUGAGCAGGGUAAUUAAAAUGAACCUUUGAUUGUAUGGCACCGGAAAUAAGACAAGACGAAGUCAGAAACAGUAUGAUGGUGUAGGAGUUGUUGAAUUUAGCCUCCUUCGUUUCCCGCAGGACUUUCAUCUCUCUGUUGGAUGGCCAGGAUGUUGGACACACAACAACUAAUGAGUUCCAAUCGAUGGUAACCGAGAUCCACAAGGGGGCUUCUCCAAGAUCUAAAACAAGCUGUUCUCCCGAAUACAGGGGAUAUAAAACUGAAAACAUGUAAAAGGUAAUGAUUGAUCCAAAAUCGGUAUAGAAAUGUGGCCGUCCUCAGUAUCUAUGCCGUAGCAAAUACAAAUCACGGGAAAUAUGUUUUAAUAGCAUAUAUAUUCAAAGAGUCGGACUAAAUUUUAACACUCCAACUAUGUUUUUCGUCUCCAUACUGAAUCCCUUCAAUCCAGUUCUUCAUCUCGAGAGCUACUUUUCCGGCUUCUUCAUUUUCUUUCAAACCACAAUCCACCGUACGUCCUUUCCAGCUGAUGGUGCGGACGGGACUAACAAUCGCCGCAGUCCCUGCUCCGAAUACCUCGAUCAUCCUACCCUCAUCAGCAGCUUGGGCAAUUUCCGACAUUGUCAACUUACGCUCUGAUAUCGUCCAACCUCUGGGGCCCAGUCUCUCCCGGGCAAGAGUGAGGACUGAAUCUCUGGUGACUCCCUCCAAAAUCGUUCCAUCCAGCGGAGCCGUGAUGAGUUCAUUUUGCCUAGUUUCUUUGUUUUUUAACGCAACAAAAAGAUUCAUGGUCCCAACCUCCGUGACGUACUCCUCUUCUCCGAAUAGCCACAGAUUCUGUUGGUGGCCUUUCUUUGCCGCUUCGGUCUGAGGGACAAUGCAUGGAGCAUAAUUUGCACCCAGCUUUUUGUCCCCGACUCCGCCAGGCCAUGCACGAACCGCGUAAUCUGUUGCCUCUAGAGAAAUAGCCUUGAAGCCGGUUGGGUAGUAAGGACCAACAGGGCUAGCAAUGACGAAGAGCAGGGCAGAGGAAGGAGCGCUAACACCCAACGUCUCCUGCGUACCAAUCAUUGUGGGUCUUAGAUACAACGAAUAACCACGAGUUCUAUGGGAGAUAUAGUCAAUCAGUAUAAGCAAAAGAACAAAUCUAAUGUCGAAUUCCAUUAGCAAUCCAAUCAACAAAGGUUACUUACUGGGGGAUAAAUCUGCUGUCUAAUUUAACAAGCUCACUGAUGAGCUUUAUCGCAGCAUCUUCAUCGAGUGUUGGAAGCGCGAUACGCUUCGAUGAUCUAUUUAAUCGUGCCAUAUUCAUAUCUGGUCUGAAUAACCGGAUGCCACCAUCCUUGUCUUUGUAUGCCUUCAUUCCCUCAAAACACUCAAACGCGUAAUGGAAAACGCAGGUCGCAGGAUUGAGACUGAGGUUUUGAAAGGGAACGAUGCUUGGAGACAACCAGCCAUCCUUGGUAUUCCAUUUUACCAUAAGCAUGUGGUCAGUGAAUGUCGACCCGAAAACGAGUUUUUCUGGGGGAGUGAGUUUGCUGGGGGAGGGAUUUUUCGUAAUUGAUAGCUUGGAGACGUCAACUCCAGGUAAUCCAUCGCUCCGGCUUGCAAAAUUCGAGCUGUAUUUCCUUUGGCAGGGAAUGGAAUAUCUCCAUGCGGAGCUACUGCUGCUAAGUGCAGGAAUUCCCCUACGAGUUAGGGCGGACACAACAGACUUCAUGGUUCUUCACUGGACUCAAUUGGUUUUCGAAAGGGAGAAUACGAGAAAUGGGGGA
Molecule: small RNA, 2146 nt
Filed under: Histoplasma capsulatum
Lineage: Eukaryota; Fungi; Ascomycota; Eurotiomycetes; Onygenales; Ajellomycetaceae
Also listed under: 1 other name
Description: hypothetical RNA
Source: RNAcentral